AAGUAUGUUUGACUUCCUGCAUAUAAAAUUCAUAGGGCCUUGAUAAAAUUCAAAUACUAACAUCACAAUUCACAUAGGAAAGGAACAUGUUUUCACCAUAACUUUUAAAAAUUUGUGUCAAUUUGGAAUACAAUUAAAGUGAACAAGUGUGAAAUUUGAAUGAAAAUAACCAACAUUCCUGACCUAACCUUACCUACUUUCCUAAAAAGUUUGUAAUACCCUUAAUACCAACCUAAAACCCCCAUGCCAGAUGUCUACAACAUACAAACCUUUCAACCAGCCUACUACAGUACCUAACACCUCACAACCUAUUCCAUUCCGAACCUAUUGAUUGGGAUUUUUGUAUACUUUUAUACUCAUUGCAUCCUAGCUUGCUAUUAUAGCAAACAUGCAGGUAUUUAAAGAAAUGUUUUGUUUUUCCUUUUUAGCUGUUGAAAUUUCUUGAAUGCAAACACAACACAACACACCAUGCGCACAUGACAGAGGUCUCCGUCACUGCGGAGGGAAGAUCGCAAUGCUGCUUGCAGGCUGUUGACAGAAAGUGAUCAGUUGUCGUGUUCCGCCAGCUGCUGCGCCGGCGUUGGCAGCGCACAGCCGCUACCAGCUGACACGCCGACCGGUGCGCGGCGCGCGUGCGCCGGGCGCCGACGGCCGUCGUCUGGCAGCAACAGCGCUGCCAGUGACUCGCGCUGCUGCUGCAGAAACUGGACAAGGAUCGUAGAAUCCUGGCGUGUUUUUGUAACGUCCAUUAGAGUGAUUUAGACGCAGCGUGUAGAAAGGACUCGUUUAUUGACGUGUGACUUUCUGACAGCUCAGUCACCUGUUGACGGCGGCGCACAGCGUCACCUACCCGCCCUACAGCCGGCCCAGCAGGGUGAGUAGUGAGUACCAAUACCCGCCCUGCAGCCGGCCCCAGCAGGCGGACGGAGAGGCCCGCCCGGGCCCAGUGCCGCACGGAGAGGCGGCGGCGCUGGAGGCCAACACCCCGGCUCGCGGCCUGUAGCUGACGGUGCUGGAGCCGCGAGUCACCGUGGUGGCUGGCCAUGGAGACUUGGAAAAGGCCGGUGAGGUGCGUCUCCAGCUGCGCUGUCAGACGAUCCAGUGGAACGAGCAGCAGCCCAUGUACCCGUCCCGGCUGUGCCGGUGUGUCUCCCAGCUUGAGCGGCGCCGGCCGACCGCUGCGCUGCUCUACAACUGCCACGUCCACACACGAUGCACGGUGACGGCUGACCAGGCGGUGCUGGUCUCGGCCGCGACCGACGGCCAGCCCGCCCAGGAGCACCAGGCUUUAGAGGCUGAUUAGUGGGCAGAUACAUUCAAUUAGCUAUUAAUAAUUGAUUAUGCAAACAUU
Amphibalanus amphitrite is the source of this 1351-nucleotide long non-coding RNA. RefSeq lists it as uncharacterized. Lineage: Eukaryota; Metazoa; Arthropoda; Thecostraca; Balanomorpha; Balanidae. The record is from RefSeq and is a predicted model, not a curated record. The transcript is spliced from 5 exons.